Magnolia sinica is the source of this 702-nucleotide long non-coding RNA. RefSeq lists it as uncharacterized. The transcript is spliced from 2 exons. Lineage: Eukaryota; Viridiplantae; Streptophyta; Magnoliopsida; Magnoliales; Magnoliaceae. The record is from RefSeq and is a predicted model, not a curated record.
GAAAGAAGAAAUAAGAAAACUACAACAUCAACUAGCACUUACAAACCAGAAAUUGCAAGUCCUUUUAUUAUGCUAUGUAGCUUUUUUCUAGAUUAUACAAAUCCUUCAUGACUUUAAAAUUAGCUAUGUUAAGUAUCAACAGAUUUUAUUUUAUUUUUCUUUCUAGAGAAGCCAUUUUUCUAUGAGGAAUAAUGAAUGAUCACCUACAACCAGUUGCAUGUGAAUGGAAAACUCUAUCUACAGAUACUUUGGGAUUUUCAUUUUCCAAUUACUUUUGGUCAUCCUUUAAUGAUUUUGGUUUCCAACGUGUUCUUUUUGUUCUUGAAUUUAAAAGAUUAUAGAGUCUUUGAUUGCAAGUAGGGAUGUCAUCAACCUCCCGGCCUGAUCAUUUUGGAGAAAAUAUUAGGUCAUAAGAUAUGGAUAAAGUGAGGAAGACAUUUUAUACAGAUGUUCCUGAUGAAUACAUGCAAGUUGUUGAAGAUCUGGUUGUCCAAAGGACUGAAUUUGGUAAUGCAUCAGAGAAAGAGCAUUACCAUGUGAAGAGUGACUCUUUCAUGCAAAUGUUCUGCAACAAAAGAUGGUGGAGCUCUUCAUCUUCUUAACGAACUUUCAUUUAAUUGUCUUUUUAUUUUGAAGUCUUCCAUUGCAGAUUUUAAUUUUUACUGUCAGGUUUGCAAGUCAGAUAAAUAAUGUUUCAGAUUA